AGCCCUAAGAAAUAAUUUAGGGUGAUACCUGCCCUAUGAGAAAUUAAAUGGCCGCGGUACUUUGACCGUGCUAAGGUAGCAUAAUCAAUUGACUUUUAAAUGAAGUCUGGAAUGAAAGGGAUAACGGAAUUUAGCUGUCUCAUUCUCUUAAUAUGAAUUUACUAAAUAGGUGAAAAGGCCUAGAUAAGAUAAAAGACGAGAAGACCCUAAGAGUUUAAAUUAUUUUGUUGGGGCGACAUAGGAUCAUAAAACAUCCUUAAUUUAUGUGACGGAUUUUUCAUGUUUAGAUAAACUACCUUAGGGAUAACAGCAUAAUUUUUUAAAGUUUGUGACCUCGAUGUUGGACUAGGAAGCUUUUAGGCUAGCUGCCUAAUUGGGGGAUUCUGUUCGAAUUUUUACUCCU
RNAcentral lists this ribosomal RNA (403 nucleotides) under Weinkauffia macandrewii. RNAcentral describes it as "Atys macandrewii partial 16S large subunit ribosomal RNA". It matches the Rfam family "Bacterial large subunit ribosomal RNA", at positions 1829 to 2596 of the family's 2925-position model. The record is from RNAcentral. Lineage: Eukaryota; Metazoa; Mollusca; Gastropoda; Cephalaspidea; Haminoeidae.